This 2083-nucleotide long non-coding RNA is filed under the name Homo sapiens (human). Its description in RNAcentral is "HSALNT0383538". The record is from RNAcentral. Lineage: Eukaryota; Metazoa; Chordata; Mammalia; Primates; Hominidae.
GGGGGAGGGGUGGCAGCUUGGGCAGCCAAGGGGCCCCGUCUCCUACAAACCUCCUGCACACCUGGGGAAGGCAGCAGCUCUGGGGUCUGCAGGGGGGCACCUCAUGGUUCCCAACUCUCCUAGAAGCAAAAAGGGAUUCAAAGAGGCCCACUUGAUAACCUGUCAGGCUGCAUAGCAGUGAGGCUUCCUCCUUUACACCGAUGUCGGGGAAAAGAAAACUACCUGGCAAGUUAGGAUACAGCAGGAACGGUCUCCAAGACAGCCAUUGAAAAUGCUCCCAAAUGCUGGAGACCUCAGCUCCUGCACAAAGACAAAACCACAGAGGAAAGCACUCAGAAAGGAGCAGGAUGAGGGAAUGCAAAGAAAAGGCAAAUGAGGGAAGCGUUGAAAGAUACAGGAUAUUAAAGAUGAGAAAGGCCUUGGAGAUGAUCAAAUCCAAUCCCUUUAUUUUCUAAAGAAACUGAGGCUCGGAAUAAUUGACCUGACAGAUAGAAACUGAUGGAAAAUUUUAGUUCUGUUACUUACUUGCUGUGAGACCAUUUUGAAAAUAGACAUCAUAUCCUGUUUUAAUUACCCUAGACUUCAGAAAUAAGCAUUCCAAGAUAAACCUAUCUGUAUCUGGGGGAAUAAGAGUAGGCUCAGUUGACAGAAGACAAUAGGAAAAGUAACACAUAAAGAUGUCACCAGAAGACAAAGCUCUGGAUUUAAGAUUUGGAAGUUGGAAAAACUCUUGGAAGCUUAGCAAAAUUGUAUAUAACCAGGCCCAUAUGAAAUGGAGUGCUGUUGCAAGUUACUGUGCUGAGGAAGUUGAGGCUCUAAGACCAAAAUGUUGGCAAAUGGCUUGGAUUUGGAAUAAUGAAGAAGAGAGGCCAAGAGCCAAUCCUAAAGUAAUGACAGGAAGUUGGUGGGUGUCCCAGAGAGAGGUCACUUCUGGUAAGGAGCAUAGGGAGAGAAUGGAGGCAGAGGAGUCCUGUAAACUAAAAUCCAGUGAUUUGGGAAUAAAAUGAGCCUCCCAGUUUGUUUGAAUAAAGUACUUGAAUCCAAACCAACAUUUUCUUGCUCCCAAUGCAUAUAUCAGGAUAAAACAUUUUGACACAUCGUAAAAUGCAUAUAAUUCAUAGAUACAAUACUUUACACAAGAAUAUAACACAUCAUAUUGUUCAGAUACUCAUAUGCCUAGUGCUAGGCAUUCAAAAAUAUUUGUUGAAUAAAUGAAAACUCCCAGCUCUGCCACUUACUUAAUUAACCACAAAAAAAAUUGUGUCGUCAGUAAAAUGGAUAUGGUGAUACACACCUCGUGGAGUGAGAUAAUAUACAUGAAGUACCCGGAACAUAUUAAGCAUUUGAUAAAUAAUAGCUGUUAUUGUUGUUUUAAGUAUGGGUCAAACAUUGUUGUAAAUGCUUUAUAAGAAUUUAAAAUUUAUACCACAGAAAACAUUUUCUAUGUCCUGUGAGAAAUAUGUAUGUUUUGUAUUUUAAAGAGAAAAAUGUGUUUAAAUAACCAGUCAAGUGUCUGAUACACAUCAUCUUGACUGUAUAUUAGAUUAAUUCAUCUAUAAUUAAUAUGUUAGUCAUUUCCAAGACCAAUGUAGUUGUCUACCACUUCCUAGCACACCUGGGCUGCACAAAUAUGUGGGUCUGAUAUAAUGUCAGAAAUGCAGGAAGCUAUAUGAGAUUCCAGCCCUCUAUUUUUCCAAGUGUAAAAGAACUUAUGAAUCAAGAGCCGAAUAAAAAACAUAGUACUCUUUCUGAUAAUCUGUCAACAAAUUUGCAAUCAUGUCAGGCAUGUUAUAUGAUUACGAAUUGCUCAAUGCUAUUAUGAAAAGUAUUUUCAACAAGUGAAACUUCUGGAGUUCUCUGCAGUUCUGGGAUCAAACCUCAGUGCCUUGUCCUAACGUCCCAUUAGGACAGAAGUGCCCUUCCUGAGAGUAUGGCAGCAUAAUGACAUUCUAGCACCUGGACCGAUUACACUGCUCUCCCUGAAGUAGUGGAUUCUUUCAUCAGCAGGAGAGAGAAGGGUGAAUUGUAUAAAGUGGAGCCUGACAGUGUGUAUUUUAUUCUUUAAAAUAAAAAAAUUAAGAAC